GCUUUUAUAGUUUAAAAAUUAAAACAUUAGUCUUGUAAACUGAAAAUAUAUUCUAUAUUAAAAGUA
This 66-nucleotide transfer RNA is filed under the name Mycterothrips gongshanensis. RNAcentral describes it as "tRNA-Thr". It matches the Rfam family "tRNA". Rfam says of the family: Transfer RNA (tRNA) molecules are approximately 80 nucleotides in length. Their secondary structure includes four short double-helical elements and three loops (D, anti-codon, and T loops). Lineage: Eukaryota; Metazoa; Arthropoda; Insecta; Thysanoptera; Thripidae. The record is from RNAcentral.